RNAcentral lists this ribosomal RNA (274 nucleotides) under uncultured bacterium. RNAcentral describes it as "partial 16S ribosomal RNA". It matches the Rfam family "Bacterial small subunit ribosomal RNA", at positions 523 to 796 of the family's 1533-position model. The record is from RNAcentral.
AUACGGAGGGGGCUAGCGUUGUUCGGAAUUACUGGGCGUAAAGCGCGCGUAGGCGGGCUGUUAAGUCGGGGGUGAAAUCCCGGGGCUCAACCCCGGAACUGCCCUCGAUACUGGCAGUCUUGAGAUCUGGAGAGGCGAGUGGAAUUCCGAGUGUAGAGGUGAAAUUCGUAGAUAUUCGGAGGAACACCAGUGGCGAAGGCGGCUCGCUGGCCAGAUACUGACGCUGAGGCGCGAAAGCGUGGGGAGCAAACAGGAUUAGAAACCCCAGUAGUCC